UUCUGGUUGAUCCUGCCAGAGGCGACCGCUUUUGGAGUUCGAUUAAGCCAUGCGAGUAGAAAGAAAUUAGAUUCUUUGCGAACUGCUCAGUAACACGUGGAUAACCUGCCCUAUGCUCCGGAAUAACCUCGGGAAACUGAGAAUAAUACCGGAUAGAUCACAACGCCUGGAACGGUGUGUGGUUGAAAGAUUACGGCAUAGGAUGGGUCUGCGGCGUAUCAGGUUGUAGGGGGUGUAAAGGACCUCCUAGCCAUCGACGCGUACGGGUGUUGGGAGACAUAGCCCGGAGAUGGAUUCUGAGACACGAAUCCAGACCCUACGGGGUGCAGCAGGCGCGAAAACUUCACACUGCAGGAAACUGUGAUGAGGGAACUCCAAGUGCACGCACUUAGUGUGUGCUUUUUUCAACUAUUAAUCGGUUGAAGAAUAAGGGCUGGGAAAGACCGGUGCCAGCCGCCGCGGUAAUACCGGCAGCUCAAGUGGUCGUCGCUUUUAUUGGGCCUAAAACGUCCGUAGCCUGUUUGGUAAAUCUGUGGGUAAAUCAACCAGCUUAACUGGUUGAAUUCUGCAGAGACUGCCAGACUAGGGACCGGGAGAGGUGUGGGGUACUCUAGGGGUAGGGGUAAAAUCCUGUCAUCCUUAGAGGACCACCAGUUGCGAAGGCGCCACACUGGAACGGAUCCGACGGUCAGGGACGAAGCCUAGGGGCACGAACCGGAUUAGAUACCCGGGUAGUCCUAGGUGUAAACGCUGUGAACUUGGUGUCGGGGAUCCGUCAUGGGUCCCCGGUGCCGGAGUGAAGAUGUUAAGUUCACUGCCUGGGGAGUACGGUCGCAAGGCUGAAACUUAAAGGAAUUGGCGGGGGAGCACUGCAACGGGAGGAGCGUGCGGUUUAAUUGGACUCAACGCCGGGA
Molecule: ribosomal RNA, 914 nt
Filed under: uncultured Candidatus Poseidoniales archaeon
Lineage: Archaea; Methanobacteriati; Thermoplasmatota; Candidatus Poseidoniia; Candidatus Poseidoniales
Description: SSU rRNA
Rfam family: Archaeal small subunit ribosomal RNA
Source: RNAcentral